RNAcentral lists this long non-coding RNA (466 nucleotides) under Mustela putorius furo (domestic ferret). RNAcentral describes it as "lncRNA (ENSMPUG00000031469.1)". The record is from RNAcentral. Lineage: Eukaryota; Metazoa; Chordata; Mammalia; Carnivora; Mustelidae.
UGACCUUCCAGUGAAUUUUGAGUAACAGUAUGUUAAAAUUGGGUUUGUGAGUUAAAAAUCAUCAAGCUGUUUUAAGAAGCCAGACUCUCUUCCUUACAUUCGGAAUAAUUUGUAUCCUGCAAUUUCCUCACUUCAGAACAAAGCCUUGUUGAAACCUAAGUGACUAACUGGACUGAGAUAACAAGACCCAGAAAAGAGAAGCCAGAAACAAACACAUAAGUAAAUCAGACAAGGAAGAGACCAUGGUCCACAUGGGUUCCAAGAUUCAUUGUUUAUACACCAUCUGAUUUAGAUGGCUACAUUUCAGAUAAGUAAAGAGGCUGGUGUGUUCCGGGCAUAAGUGAUACUGAAGAGAUGCAAGUAAGUCAGGAUCCCCUUGAAGAUGGAGAAUAGACUAAUAUGUUUGGGGAGGAGGGUUUAUAGAAUGUAAUUGUCAGGGCAAGUGUAAGGCAAAAGUGGUUUGGAG